UGACUGCAUUUCUAAGAAGUCAAAUAUAACUUCAGACAUAGCAAGUUGCGGACUCUGAAUUUAGAAGAUGAGGAAAAAGUCUUUGGUGACACUUGGCAAACACUUAAUUAGAGUGACAGUCAUUUUAAUAUUCAGAAUUUAUGUGAAGGCCUUUUUCAUUCGCUUGUUUAAUUUUCCAGGAUUAAAGUAGAACCUGACAAUUAAAAUAGUUCACACAGUCUUCAGUCUUACACAGUUAAGCUAAUUCAAGUAAAAUUUAAAAUGUUGUUUUGCUUCAAAGCAGAAAAAUGGAAAGUGCAAAUGUUUGGGCAACCCAAGAGAUUUGAUAUUUCCCACAACUUUUGCACAAGUCUAAGACUUUACUUAGCUUGCGACUUCUCAAACCUUGUCCCAGCAGUCAGAUGUCACAGGGUAUAAGAGCACUAAAAGACAUGCACCAAGUUCUUUUGUGAUGGCCGUGUUCUUUAUCCUCUAUGUAAUUAAAGCAAUACCAUGU
This is a long non-coding RNA of Melanotaenia boesemani (Boeseman's rainbowfish), 496 nucleotides long. RefSeq lists it as uncharacterized. The transcript has 2 exons. NCBI's taxonomy places the organism in Eukaryota, Metazoa, Chordata, Actinopteri, Atheriniformes, Melanotaeniidae. The record is from RefSeq and is a predicted model, not a curated record.